CCAGGUACUCAGCCUUCCUCCACUGAACGGGCACAAUCUGACUCCCCAGGGCCCAGCUAUGACAUCACAAAGCCUCCUUUUUCUUUCAUGUCUUUUGUGCCUUUCUCUGUGGCAUAUCCUUGCAGUUCCAAGGAAAUAUCCCUCUGCCGUGAGAACUGCCCUGCCUCCAGCCAGGGAAACAGAUGUGGAAAAGUCAAUGGUCAUUAACCAGUCAGUCCCUAGUCCAGGAUGAGGGCCCAGAUUCCAGACUGGGAAGGAGGCUGGCAGAGACAAGCAUUUGGAUGGAUCCCACCACAGGGAUCAGUUGUGACACAAGGGACACGGUUCAGGUCUGCAGACUUCGUAGUAAAGAAGGGUAGAAACUCAUGCCAAAUCAUGAAGCCAAGAUUCAGAUAAGGAAAAUUUGAAGGACUGCAG
Molecule: long non-coding RNA, 417 nt
Organism: Empidonax traillii (willow flycatcher)
Lineage: Eukaryota; Metazoa; Chordata; Aves; Passeriformes; Tyrannidae
Exons: 3
Source: RefSeq, a predicted model, not a curated record